GGUGUUGUGGCUUAGUGGUAGAGCUCUUGCUUUGCAUGUGCAAGGCCCAGGCUUCUAUCCUCAGCACCA
Molecule: transfer RNA, 69 nt
Filed under: Urocitellus parryii (Arctic ground squirrel)
Lineage: Eukaryota; Metazoa; Chordata; Mammalia; Rodentia; Sciuridae
Also listed under: 1 other name
Description: Spermophilus parryii (Arctic ground squirrel) tRNA
Rfam family: tRNA
About the family: Transfer RNA (tRNA) molecules are approximately 80 nucleotides in length. Their secondary structure includes four short double-helical elements and three loops (D, anti-codon, and T loops).
Source: Rfam by way of RNAcentral